UCAUUAAAAUUAAAGGACAUGAAAAAAUAGAUAUUAGUAUAGCAAUAAAACAAACAUACAUUCUUUUAUUUGUAAUUAAAUAAACUACAUUUGGGGAUUAAAAAGUACAGCCUUUAGUCAAAUAUAACUGGAAAGGACUAAAUGCCACUGAGAAGAGAACAGAGGCAUUCCAAAAACAACAUCAAUAUAGUGAAAAAUACAAUAUGUAAAAUAAUUUGGAAGUUUUAACUUGAAAUUAAUAAAACAUAAGAUAUAUUAACAAUAAUAAAGUAUCAGUUCAGUACAAAUAAAGAAUAUCAGCUAGUCCAACAUAGAAUGCCACAGUUUCAAUCUCCGACCAGCUUGUGAAAUAAAAUGCAAACAGAAUUCUGUCAUAUCUAGAAUCUGAAAUAAUUCUCUUCACAAUCCGCUGAGUGGAAAAAAUUACAUUAAAGAAGGGCAUAAAAGAGGAUUUUACAAAAUAGGCACAAACAUACACCCAGCAAUAUCAUCAAUUAUUGAAAUUUGAUUACAAACUUCCAUCAGUGUUUAUUUUCUAGAAAAUAAAUUCCAAAAAGUAAACAACAAAACAGACAGUAACAUAACUUUUAAAGCAAGCACUAAAUGUUAAGAACAUAACAAAGAUAUAACUUAAUGAUUUGAUACCUAUAACAAAAUUAAACAUGGACAGAAAUUUAUGUACCAUAUAGAUUACUAGAAAUGAGCGACACCAAAAAGAACAAAUUUGACAACCUUGGAGCACUUUUUCCAUCCACUGCAUUGUUUGAAAGGUCAUCCAUAAGAGCAUCCGCAGAUCCAUCAGCAGGAGCAGAGUUUUGUACAUUGGAGGGUUGUAAUACCCUCACUUUAGGUAAUCCGUACAUUUUACUAUUCUGAUAAUCAAUGUCUAUACAGAAAGUCAGAAUGUCUGGAACUAUAUUUAAUCUAAAGUGAAGAGUCCUAAAUAAUCUAAAUAAUGACUAAGAAAAAUUUUAAAAAAAAUUUAAGAAACGAAAUACAAGAAGGUUAAACGAACCGAAGCUCCGGUGAUGGGUAACCUAACGGGAAGCAACUGUAAAGACAUUUGCCGACCCUAGACGAGGGGAACCUUGUGAAAAAAUUAUUUGAGACUUAAGUGAAGGAUUUCUGAGGUUCAGAUGACAAUGGAAUGCUAAGAAAAUUUAUGUAAAUCGAUACACACAAUUUUAACUUGGUAAACACAAUGAAGGACAUUUUGGUCAUUUCACCUUCAGAGCUGAUUUUUGACCAAUUUGCCCAUUUAAGUAAGUGAGAUUUAUGUCAUAAAAUAUGAAUAAAUAUUGAUAAAAAUUUAAUUAAAAAUGAAUAAGAGAAAGAAGAAAGAAAAAUAAAACAAAUUGAAAUUAAAUUAGAAUUAUUACCUAAGCAUGAUGCAAUUUAAAAAGUGUAACCAAUCAAAAUUAGACAAGCCUACUUAUAAGAGAUAAAAGGGAUUAAAAUGAAAUAAAAAUAAAAAAAAUAAAUCAUCUCCUUCCUCAUUUCCACUAGUUGGCCAAAACUCUAUGCCCUAAGCCAUCCUCCAUUAAAGCUCCAUCAAGUUUCAAAUUUCCACCAUUUUCUAUCAUAUUUCCCCACUCUCCAAAUACAAAAAUUAUUUAUUUCACUUUAAGAAGAAGAUUAGUGGCAAGUAGAAGAAGAGAAAUUGAAGAAUUGGGAAGUUUAGAAUCUUGCUUCAAGAGGUUAGUGCCAAUUCUCACCCCUCUCUCUCUCUCUCUAUUCAUUGCUAAGGAUUUAAUUUGAGCUAGAAUUUGUUGAAAUUGAAAACAAAUAUACAUGUUAGAGCACCCAUGAAUUUCGGCAGCCAUGAGAAGAUUUAGGGUUUGAUGAUUUUUUAUGGAAUUAAUUGGUUUAUUAGUAUUGUUGAUGAGUAUAUGUGAUAGAUAAGUUGAUUAGUAUGUGUUGGAUGCAAUUAUGAAUUGUGAGGGUUAGGGUUUGUGAUAAAUUGGGGAUUUUAUGUUUUGAUGCUUAAUUGGUGUUAUUAAGGUCAAUUAGUGACCAUUUGAUGUAGUUUGACCUUAAAAAGGAAUUGGUUGUGGCAUUGAAUUGUGAAUUGGAUCUGCUGCCCUUUAUGCUGGAAAUUCUAGACUUUGAGUCCAGUAUGUUUGGCAGCCAUAAGUUGAAUUGUGUAACUUCAAUUGGUGUAAGGCCAAUUGGAGGUGAAACUAGGGACAUAAUGUCACAUUUUUCAUAAAGAGAUUCUACCCAGAAACUAACACAAAGUGACCUAAAAUUUGUUUGAGUCUGGAUAACUAAAAUCUGGACUUGGAAAAAUGACCAUACGAGCAGUGAUUGUUCAAAUGGGCAUAACUUUGUGUAGAGAGGUCCA
Molecule: unclassified non-coding RNA, 2344 nt
Filed under: Hevea brasiliensis (rubber tree)
Lineage: Eukaryota; Viridiplantae; Streptophyta; Magnoliopsida; Malpighiales; Euphorbiaceae
Source: RNAcentral